CCUACGGGAGGCAGCAGUGGGGGAUCUUGCACAAUGGGGGAAACCCUGAUGCAGCGACGCCGCGUGAGUGAUGAAGUAUUUCGGUAUGUAAAGCUCUAUCAGCAGGGAAGAAAAUGAGAGUAACUGACCAAGAAGCUCCGGCUAACUACGUACCAGCAGCCGCGGUAAUACGUAGGGGGCAAGCGUUAUCCGGAUUUACGGGGUGUAAAGGGAGCGUAGACGGUUAUUUAAGUAUGGAGUGAAAGCGCGGGGCCCAACCCCGGGAGUUCUUUGGAAACUGGAUAACUGGAGUACAGGAGGGGCAGGCGGAAUUCCUGGUGUAGCGGUGAAAUGCGCAGAUAUCAGGAGGAACACCGGCGGCGAAGGCGGCCUUCUGGACUGAAACUGACGUUGAUGCUCGAAAGCGUGGGGAGCAAACAGGAUUAGAUACCCUUGUAGUC
Molecule: ribosomal RNA, 440 nt
Filed under: uncultured bacterium
Lineage: Bacteria
Description: partial 16S ribosomal RNA
Rfam family: Bacterial small subunit ribosomal RNA
Source: RNAcentral